AGCAGCCGCGGUAAUUCCAGCUCCAAUAGCGUAUAUUAAAGUUGUUGCAGUUAAAAAGCUCGUAGUUGAAUUUCGGGGUUAGUAGGUUGGUCAUGCCUCUGGUACGUACUGGUCUCACUGAUUCCUCCUUCCUGAUGAGCCGUAAUGCCAUUAAUUUGGUGUUGCGGGGAAUUUGGACUGUUACUUUGAAAAAAUUAGAGUGUUUAAAGCAAGCUAACGCUUGAAUACAUUAGCAUGGAAUAAUGAAAUAGGACGUCCGAUCCUAUUUUGUUGGUUUCUAGGAUUGACGUAAUGAUUAAUAGGGAUAGUUGGGGGCAUUAGUAUUCAAUUGUCAGAGGUGAAAUUCUUGGAUUUAUUGAAGACUAACUACUGCGAAAGCAUUUGCCAAGGAUGUUUUCAUUAAUCAAGAACGAAAGUUAGGGGAUCGAAGACGAUCAGAUACCGUCGUAGUCUUAACCAUAAACUAUGCCGACUAGGGAUCGGAUGAUGUUAAUUUUUUAAUGACUCA
This 508-nucleotide ribosomal RNA is filed under the name uncultured Glomus. RNAcentral describes it as "SSU rRNA". It matches the Rfam family "Eukaryotic small subunit ribosomal RNA", at positions 569 to 1078 of the family's 1831-position model. The record is from RNAcentral. Lineage: Eukaryota; Fungi; Glomeromycota; Glomeromycetes; Glomerales; Glomeraceae.